RNAcentral lists this ribosomal RNA (496 nucleotides) under uncultured bacterium. Its description in RNAcentral is "partial 16S ribosomal RNA". It matches the Rfam family "Bacterial small subunit ribosomal RNA", at positions 30 to 523 of the family's 1533-position model. The record is from RNAcentral.
AUUGAACGCUGGCGGAAUGCUUUACACAUGCACGUCGAACGGUAGAGGGGGCAACCCCUCGAGAGUGGCGAACGGGUGAGUAAUAUAUCGGAACGUGCCCAGUCGUGGGGGAUAACGUAGCGAAAGUUACGCUAAUACCGCAUACGAUCUAAGGAUGAAAGCGGGGGAUCGCAAGACAUCGCGCGAUUGGAGCGGCCGAUAUCAGAUUAGGUAGUUGGUGGGGUAAAGGCUCACCAAGCCAACGAUCUGUAGCUGGUCUGAGAGGACGACCAGCCACACUGGAACUGAGACACGGUCCAGACGCCUCCGGGAGGCAGCAGUGGGGAAUUUUGGACAAUGGACGCAAGUCUGGUCCAGCCAUUCCGCGUGCAGGAUGAAGGCCCUCGGGUUGUAAACUGCUUUUGUACGGAACGAAAAGGUCUCUCUUAAUACGGGGGACUCAUGACGGUACCGUAAGAAUAAGCACCGGCUAACUACGUGCCAGCAGCCGCAGUAA